RNAcentral lists this long non-coding RNA (1275 nucleotides) under Ursus thibetanus thibetanus. RNAcentral describes it as "lncRNA (ENSUTTG00000008397.1)". The record is from RNAcentral. Lineage: Eukaryota; Metazoa; Chordata; Mammalia; Carnivora; Ursidae.
GGGAAUGAGUGAGUAAUUCUGUUGGGGAGAAUACUGGAGAAGGCUAUAUGCAGCAGCUAGUCUUUUAACUCUUCUGCCACAAGAGGACCACUCUGGGCAACAGCAUGAUGGAAGGCUUAGGAGUGGAGGCUCUCAAGGAAAAGGCCCUGCUGCAGCUGUGGAUGAUGCCAAAACACAAGCCCUGGAAAUACCGUGAACAUAUGAAGGAUUCUGCUCAGAAACUAUAUGCACAGCAAAAUAUAAAUCAGCACAGUGGCUGGGCUACGUUUCCAGGACGUGGUACAAAAAAACAUAUAUGAAGAGGAUUAGUAUGACUUUGCAUUACAUAUGAUUAACUGUCAAUGGGAAGAACUUGCUAGAAGACAUGGGCUGGAACCUGAUCCAUAUGAGCAACCAGCCAGGUGGCUGAGAAGCUUGCCAGAGUGCGUGGGCAGGCUGCAGCCGGACUGUGCAGGCCCCCGAGGUGAGUGUAUGCUACCAGGUCUCUCACAUAUUAAUUCACUGGCUGCUGUGCUGAACAGAAAAGGACCCUGGACUGAGGAAGGGAUACCCCUUCCUCUCAGUAGGGCUUUGCACUCCCCCCAGUGACCUCUACUGACAGAACCUAACAUAAAAGGAGAGGUAUUUAUAGGGUACAGCUUCAGUAUCACAGAGUAGGACAAAAAAGGGUAGAUUUGGAGUUAAGAGUCAAUAAAUUGAUGCUGGCACACUGGUCAUCAGGAAAAUGCAUGUAAAAUAACAAAGAGAUAACUACUGACUAAACAAACAGGUACGAUAAUGCCAAAUAUUGUCAAGGAUGUGCGGAAAUGAGAACAAUCAUAAAUUGCUGGUGGGAAUGUGAUCGACAAAACUAUUUUGAAUACCAGUUUGUUAUUGACCAAAGCUGAAGAUGGGCGUAUCUUAUUGCAUGCAACACUACUUCUAGGUACAUAUGCUGGAGGGGAGAUUGCACACACGUACGAGUUGACGUGUAUGAGGACAUCUAUUUCAGAUAUAUAUUUAAUGACCCCAAAUUGGGCACAACAUAAAUGUCUACCAGUAGGGAGGGGUAUUAUACAAUAAAUCGUGGGAUCAUUAGUGGUAUUUUACCUAUGCAGCAAUGUAAAAGGAUGCAUUAUAUCUAUAUGUACCCAUAUUGACAAUUUUCAAAAACAAUGGUGAGUUAAAAAAAGAAAGUUGCAGAAGACCUCUUUAAUGCAUUAUUUAUAUAAAUUUUUAAACCACACAAAAACAUACUCCAUAUGAGAGAUUAGUAAACUUAUCUGUAAAGGGUCU